UAAGGAAUAUUGGUCAAUGGACGCAAGUCUGAACCAGCCAUGCCGCGUGAAGGAUGAAGGUCCUCUGGAUUGUAAACUUCUUUUAUCUGGGACGAAAACGGGAUUUUUAUCUCAAUUGACGGUACCAGAGGCAUAAGCACCGGCUAACUACGUGCCAGCAGCCGCGGUAAUACGUAGGGUGCGAGCGUUAAUCGGAAUUACUGGGCGUAAAGCGUGCGCAGGCGGAUUGUUAAGCAAGACGUGAAAUCCCCGGGCUUAACCUGGGAAUGGCGUUUUGGACUGGCAGUCUAGAGUGCGUCAGAGGGCGGUGGAAUUCCACGUGUAGCAGUGAGAUGCGUAGGGAUGUGGAGGAACACCGAUGGCGAAGGCAGCCCCCUGGGAUGACACUGACGCUCAUGUACGAAAGCGUGGGUAGCAAACA
Molecule: ribosomal RNA, 421 nt
Filed under: uncultured bacterium
Lineage: Bacteria
Description: bacterial SSU rRNA
Rfam family: Bacterial small subunit ribosomal RNA
Source: RNAcentral